AUGGGGAAGGUCAAAAAAGGAGACCGGAUGGAGGUGCUCGAGGCUGAGGAAGCUGGAGAUGCACAACUAGCUUCACUGGCCAUCCGGUGGUUGGAGCACGGGGCAAUGCUCCAGUCGCGAUGGGGUGCAGCUGCGCAGGAGGGGGAGGCUGGCGACAGGGAACCAAGCCACGGAGGAGGCAAGCAGCGGUUGCGGAUGUGGUCAGCGGUUGAGGGAGGGUCACCGACUAGAGCAGCAGGAGCAAGGAGCUCGAGGAGGUUCAAGGGUGCCGAGAAGAAUGGAAGGCAGAGCUCUGUGAGGGCAGGACUAGAGGAGCUGACGAUGGUCAUGGUUUGCCUCUACUACAACGUCUGCCAAAGACAGAUAUAG
This 369-nucleotide ribosomal RNA is filed under the name Triticum aestivum (bread wheat). Its description in RNAcentral is "partial small subunit ribosomal RNA". The record is from RNAcentral. Lineage: Eukaryota; Viridiplantae; Streptophyta; Magnoliopsida; Poales; Poaceae.